Molecule: ribosomal RNA, 483 nt
Filed under: uncultured bacterium
Lineage: Bacteria
Description: bacterial SSU rRNA
Rfam family: Bacterial small subunit ribosomal RNA
Source: RNAcentral
CUCAGAUUGAACGCUGGCGGCAGGCCUAACACAUGCAAGUCGAACGGUAGCACAGAGGAGCUUGCUCCUUGGGUGACGAGUGGCGGACGGGUGAGUAAUGUCUGGGAAACUGCCCGAUGGAGGGGGAUAACUACUGGAAACGGUAGCUAAUACCGCAUAACGUCGCAAGACCAAAGAGGGGGACCUUCGGGCCUCUUGCCAUCGGAUGUGCCCAGAUGGGAUUAGCUAGUAGGUGGGGUAACGGCUCACCUAGGCGACGAUCCCUAGCUGGUCUGAGAGGAUGACCAGCCACACUGGAACUGAGACACGGUCCAGACUCCUACGGGAGGCAGCAGUGGGGAAUAUUGCACAAUGGGCGCAAGCCUGAUGCAGCCAUGCCGCGUGUAUGAAGAAGGCCUUCGGGUUGUAAAGUACUUUCAGCGAGGAGGAAGGCGAUGAGGUUAAUAACCUCAGCAAUGACGUACUCGCAGAAGAAGCACCGGC